Molecule: transfer RNA, 76 nt
Filed under: Paracoccaceae bacterium
Lineage: Bacteria; Pseudomonadati; Pseudomonadota; Alphaproteobacteria; Rhodobacterales; Paracoccaceae
Description: Rhodobacteraceae bacterium (beach sand metagenome) tRNA-Lys
Rfam family: tRNA
About the family: Transfer RNA (tRNA) molecules are approximately 80 nucleotides in length. Their secondary structure includes four short double-helical elements and three loops (D, anti-codon, and T loops).
Source: RNAcentral
UCGUCCGUAGCUCAGAAGGUAGAGCAGCCGAUUUUUAAUCAGCCCGUCGCGGGUUCGAGUCCCGCCGGACGAUCCA